This 253-nucleotide ribosomal RNA is filed under the name uncultured bacterium. Its description in RNAcentral is "partial 16S ribosomal RNA". It matches the Rfam family "Archaeal small subunit ribosomal RNA", at positions 474 to 727 of the family's 1478-position model. The record is from RNAcentral.
UACCCGCAGCACAAGUGGUGGUCAUUAUUAUUGGGCCUAAAGCGUCCGUAGCUGGCUUGUUAGAUGCCUGGGUAAAUCGAUGCGCUCAACGCAUCGAACUUCGGGUAGACCGGCAAGCUUGGGACCGGGAGAGGCGUGAGCUACUCGAGGGGUAGGGGUAAAAUCCUGUAAUCCUUCGGGGAGGACCAGUGGCGAAGGCGUCACGCUAGAACGGCUCCGACAGUGAGGGACGAAGCCCUGGGGCGCAAACCGG